UACGGAGGGUGCGAGCGUUAAUCGGAAUUACUGGGCGUAAAGCGGGCGCAGGCGGUUUGUUAAGCGAGAUGUGAAAGCCCCGGGCUCAACCUGGGAACCGCAUUUCGAACUGGCAAACUAGAGUCUUGUAGAGGGGGGUAGAAUUCCAGGUGUAGCGGUGAAAUGCGUAGAGAUCUGGAGGAAUACCGGUGGCGAAGGCGGCCCCCUGGACAAAGACUGACGCUCAGGCACGAAAGCGUGGGGAGCAAACAGG
Molecule: ribosomal RNA, 253 nt
Filed under: uncultured microorganism
Description: partial 16S ribosomal RNA
Rfam family: Bacterial small subunit ribosomal RNA
Source: RNAcentral